UUUAUAAUUUCUAUGUGUAUGCCUAGUGUAAUUCAAGAAAACUGUGAACUUAUUUACAUAACUAGUACUAUAAUUGUAGAUAAACUUGACAAUUGUCAGCAACAAUGUCACUAUUACUUCGGAGUGUGUGGCGCAGUGUGCUCCGAGCUAGUCCACUCGGUCAGUCCACAACAACACCAAGGAGCCUGUCCUCCAGUAUUUCAGAGUUAACCCGUGGGAAAUCACCAGAUGCUGUGAUGCUAAUGUUGAAGACAGCCCCCAGCGCAACAGAUGUCCUGGAGGCAGUCCAAGCAAACUUACAGCAGAUGACGCCCAAACACUUGCUGCAAGCAUUACGAAUGCUUUUUCAGUUGCAAAAGACUGGCAAAGUCACGCACAAUACAGAUGAUCUAAUCAGGGAUCCAGCAUUCGGCGUAUUGUGCCAGAAUUUUAAAAAGCACGCACGAUCUAUAGACGUAAACAAGAAGCAAUUGAAGCGACAAAAUUCCUGUCUUUCCUUGGUGUGCCUGUGGACUCCUGAUAAUACAAACAAUGCUACAGAUAAUCAGAUGCGAGAUCAACACGAUUAAUAUACGUCAGAUUAUGUUUCUAGACUUCAUACUAAAUAGAUUUGAGGAAAAGAAUCAUCUAGUGGAUGCAUUGAAAUUGGCACUUCCUCUUGCUUUCCAAAUCCACUUACCUCUGGAGAUAGAUAAUGAUGAUCUACCGCUGCUAAGAGAUAUGCUGGCGUAUUGCUGCUCUCACGACUUGCCUGAUCGCUGCAUAAAUAACGUUGUUACCGGUAUCCUUCUCCACAACCAGGCCAUUGAUGCUCAAAUUGCUAAAUAUAUCACCUGGGCGUUAUGUCAAGUUAAUUGUACUGCAGAAGUGUUCCCCACAAGAGCCAAACUUCUUAACAACUGCCUCGUUAUUAUGACGCAAAAAUUACAUGAAUUACCUUAUGAUGAUAUACUGAGGACGGCUGCGAAACUCAAGGGAAGGAUAUUAGAGAAACAUCCAGAGUAUUAUAAUGAGCAAUUGAUGGAUGGCAUAGCUGACUAUGUAGUGAAGAAUAAUUUGGAGUUUGACAAAGUGCUUCUUGUUGCAAGAGUAUUGUCUCGAAUUGCUCACACCCACCUUGGCCUUGUGGAAUACCUCUGUCAACUAGCAGUGUCCAACCCUACAACAUUAUCUAAUGCGCGAACAAAUGUUCUAUUUGGCUUCAUCAACUGCCUCUCAAACAGCAACUACUCUCCAGACCCUGACCAGUGGAAUGAAUUGCGCAGGCAGUUGUCUCUCAAUCCAAUCCUGGAUGCCAAGAGUUUUACAUUACCUUGGGCCAAAAUGUGUCUCGAAUUAGCCUCAUUGGGCCACUAUGAGGACAGACUGAUCAGCAGGGUACUCUCCCAAGAAUUCUUGGAUGAGUACUUGUCUAGAGAGCAGAAUACACUCGAUUAUCUUCAGCUCCUGACACUGAAUGAGGCCGUCAAGACGUUCCAUACCAAAGAGUUUAAGAUGCCUCAAGAAAUUUUAGAUAAGGCCAAAAGUUUGUAUCCGACUUCGCUAUUGAGCGAAGAGUUAGAACGAAGUCUCGCUCAAGGGCUGGGCAGUCCAGAGUAUGUGGUCAAAAAUGUUAUGCUGCAAAGUGGUAUUGUUGCAGAUGCCUUAGUAUGUCUAAAAAAUGGUUAUCCACAAAAACUUCCAAGAUUAAGUGGAAAAGGAAAGGUGCCUAUAGAACAGCUCAAUUUACCUAAUGGAGGAAUUGUUGUUUGCAUCAUGAACUUUAAAGCAGGAUGCUUCUCAAUGAACAGCAAUCGUCUCCGGGGUACAUUCCGCCUGAUUCUGGACACGCUAGAGAAGCAAGGAUACGCAACCGUCGCUAUAAAUACAAAUGAAUGGCUCAACUCGCCACCCCACGAGCGGACACCUUACUUACUGCGCGAAAUUAGCUACAAGUGUAGUGAAAUCGGCAUGAAAUUAUGUGCAACGUGAUGAAUACUAAAAAUAACAUUGACUCUGUGAUCUCUUUGGUUUGUGUCCUUCAAGAUGAAAUUAUGAGUGAAUAUGACGAGAUUUUGUAGAAUUGUUUUUAUUGUUAAAAUAAAUGUAUUAUUUUUAA
This 2098-nucleotide small RNA is filed under the name Manduca sexta (tobacco hornworm). Its description in RNAcentral is "uncharacterized LOC115450240". The record is from RNAcentral. Lineage: Eukaryota; Metazoa; Arthropoda; Insecta; Lepidoptera; Sphingidae.